This 450-nucleotide ribosomal RNA is filed under the name uncultured bacterium. RNAcentral describes it as "partial 16S ribosomal RNA". It matches the Rfam family "Bacterial small subunit ribosomal RNA", at positions 338 to 795 of the family's 1533-position model. The record is from RNAcentral.
CCUACGGGGGGCAGCAGUGAGGAAUAUUGGUCAAUGGACGCAAGUCUGAACCAGCCAUCCCGCGUGCAGGAAGAAGGCGCUAUGCGUUGUAAACUGCUUUUCCAGGGGAAGAAAACCUGCUACGUGUAGUGGCUUGCCGGUACCCUGGGAAUAAGCAUCGGCUAACUCCGUGCCAGCAGCCGCGGUAAUACGGAGGAUGCGAGCGUUAUCCGGAUUUAUUGGGUUGAAAGGGUGCGUAGGCGGGCCUAGUGAAAACCUGCAGCUUAACUGUAGAACUGCCAUUGAGACUGUCGGACUUGAGUGUGGUCAAGGUAGGCGGAAUGUGUAAUGUAGCGGUGAAAUGCUUAGAUAUUACACAGAACACCGAUUGCGAAGGCAGCUUGCUGGACCAUUACUGACGCUGAUGCACGAAAGCGUGGGGAGCAAACAGGAUUAGAUACCCGAGUAGUC